Molecule: RNA transcript, 2571 nt
Organism: Ctenopharyngodon idella (grass carp)
Lineage: Eukaryota; Metazoa; Chordata; Actinopteri; Cypriniformes; Xenocyprididae
Gene: acat1
Gene name: acetyl-CoA acetyltransferase 1
Exons: 11
Source: RefSeq, a predicted model, not a curated record
CUGCUGAUUGGAAAUGAUAAAACACUGGACAAGCCCCUUUUUAGACUAUCUAGACUUAUAAAAGACACAAACAGAGACUCUGGGGGUCACUUUUCUUUCCCUGCAGAGGAAGAGACUGCAGUAUGGGGCACUUGACAGCUCUUUUUCUGACCCUUGUGGUGUAUUUGGCUCUUUGUGACGGCGCCCCCACGACUGCAUCACCAGAAGACCAUCAAAUAGCAGAGGCAUAUCUGUCACAGUUCUACAGGGACACUAAUGCAACUAAAUCCCGCGGCAGAAUGAUGUUCCUUCCAGAUCUAGAAAGUGAACUGAAGGCCAUGCAGACGUUUUUUGGACUGGAGGUCACGGGCAAGCUGGACUCAAACACUCUUGAGACAAUGAAGCUGCCACGCUGUGGAGUCACUGAUGUUGCCAAAUACGGCCACUUCCAGGGGAGUCCCAGGUGGAAGGAGAGUGUUGUAACAUAUAGAAUUACUGAAUAUACAUCACAGUUGAGCCAGAGAGAUGUGGAUGCUGUUAUUGCCAAAGCUUUCCAGCUCUACAGUGAUGUUAUUCCACUCGAUUUCAAACAGAUCUACAGUGGCACAGCUGAUAUCAUGAUUCUCUUCAAGGCUGGAUAUCAUGGAGAUUUUUACCCAUUUGAUGGGCCUAAUGGGGUUCUGGCUCAUGCCAACUCACCCGGUCCGGAGCAAGGAGGAGACACACACUUUGAUGAUGAUGAGACGUGGACCCUAAGUUCACGAGGUAUAAACCUGCUUUUGGUGGCUGCUCAUGAAUUCGGACAUGCACUGGGACUAGAUCACUCCAAUGACCCUUCUGCUCUCAUGUAUCCAACUUACAAAUACGUCAACACGAAUGGCUAUACACUUCCCCGUGAUGACCGACUUGGGGUCCAGGCCCUGUAUGGUGUUCGAACGUCAACAGAUCAACCUAAACCUGACCCAAAACCAAAUCCUGGACCAAGCCCACCAGAACCAUGCAAGCGUGACUUAGUAUUUGAUGCAGCAACCAGCAUUCGUGGAGAAUUGUACUUCUUUAAAAAUGGGUAUUACUGGAAAAAGGGUUACUACAGUGGACUUUCAAUGCAUGAAAUAAAAUCUACCUGGCCAUCCAUCGACUCUGUUGAUGCCGCUUAUGAGUUCAAUGGCAGAGACAUUAGCUUCCUUUUCAAAGGUCAGCAGUACUGGGCAGUAAAAGGCAGCACUACUUUGCCUGGAUAUCCCAAACCCAUAUCCAAAUUCGGGUUUCCCACAAAUGUGAAAAAGAUUGAUGCAGCUGUAUAUGUGAAAUCAACCGGCCGCACUUUGUUCUUUGUUGGAAGCAAAUACUGGAGCUUCAAUGAAAGAACAGCUCAGAUGGACAGAGGCUUUCCUAAAACUAUUCAACGUCAUUUUCCUGGCAUUGGUUCACAGGUGGACGCUGCUUUUGAAAAUUACGGUUAUCUGUAUUUCUCAGAAGGUCCAAGGCAAACGGAGUAUGAUUUCACCUCAAGACAAGUGAAACGUGUUCUGUUGAACUAUGGAUGGCUGAACUGCUACUAAACAUUGAAUUGAAAAUGUAGACAUUUUCUCAUCAGUAUUCCUAUGUACCUAUAUUUUAUAUUUUGUACAGACAAAGCCACAAUGUAUGAUUUUUUUUUUUUUUUUUUUUUUACAAAUAUAUAAAACUAAUAUUCACAAAAACUUGUUCUAAGUCAUCUUCUAAUAUAAUAAAUUAAAAAAAAAAAUGAAAAAGCAAUUUUCUAUAUGUAAAUUAGUGGUAUUGCAAUCAAUAUAAUUUAUUUACCUGUUCAAAAAUACAUUAAAAUACUCUUUUAUAAUGAAUAUGUUUCAGUUUCUGAAUCUAAGACACUGUGGAGUGUAAAGUCAAAAAUGUCUAGGUGCUGUAACUGUAAGAUUAUAAAAAAUGGUAUUUAUUAAAGUCUCUUAUUAAAUAGUGGUAUACAUAGUUUGGCAUAUUUAGGCCUAAUCUUUUACUAAUUCUUAACAAACAAUAAGCAGUGAAGCAAUUUUGUUUUAUAUUAUUAAUAUCUGUUUUUUUUUUUUCUUUCUGUCAAAUCAAAGUUAGAGAGGACUGUGUGUCAAAACCAAAAAGCAUAUUUAAACCUUUUAUGAAAAGGCACAUUUUGUUCAGGUGAAAUGAAGUAGGCUAAAUCAAAGAAAACUUAUAAAAACCUUUGUAAGAUGUAUGAAACCAACAUGGAGACAAAUAUUACAUUUCUUAGAACUUUAUACAAGUGUGUUUAACUAAAUUUCACCUAUAAAACCUUUUUCACCCAUGUCAUGUUCUCUUUUCACGUUUUACAACAACUAUGACAUAAACUACACCACCCAUAAUGCUUCGGGCCGUCGCCAUGUGACGCAGACACACCUCUUACUGUGAUUGGCUGCUCACUGCAAGAGUUCGUUCCACUCACUCGGAGGGUUGAAGGUGAAAAUUGCUCUUCGGUGUAUGCAGUUUUCCAUCGCGAUAAUGACAUCCAGUGCACUUUACAGUACACGCACAAACCUGUGCAGACAUCUGGCACAUAAAUAUUUGAGUAGGACCUACAGCACAAGACCAUCUCUAAAU